Molecule: RNA transcript, 2151 nt
Organism: Hevea brasiliensis (rubber tree)
Lineage: Eukaryota; Viridiplantae; Streptophyta; Magnoliopsida; Malpighiales; Euphorbiaceae
Exons: 9
Source: RefSeq, a predicted model, not a curated record
CACAGAUUUGAUUGUUCUGAGCCGAUAGAAAUCAUCAAGCCAAGCUCCUCCUACUAGCCUUACCGUCUCUCUCCCUGCUAUUGGGAUAACCAAACCCUAACCCCCACCAAAUCUCCCAGUCCUCAAACCCUAGCUUAUACUCUAUCAAUUUCUAUCAUAGCCACUGCUUCUUCUCUUCAUAACCUCAUUUAUCUCAAAGCUUCCAUUGUCAGACAUGGACCUCCAGCGAGCUAUGCUAGACGAACUCAUGGGUUCUGAUCGUAAUUUGACGGAGGAAGAGAAGAAAGAGUACAAGGAAAUUACGUGGGAUUCUAAGGAGGUCUGUCCAUACUAUAUGGCUCGAUUUUGUCCACAUGACCUCUUUGUUAACACCAAAAGUGAUCUAGGGCCAUGUGAUAGGAUUCAUGAUCCAAAGUUGAAAGAAAGCUUUGAGAGUUCCCCAAGACACGACAGAUAUCUGCCCAAAUUUGAAGCUGAACUUGCUCAGCGUUGUGAGAAAUUGGUCAUGGAUUUGGAUAGAAGAGUUAGGCGUGGAAGAGAACGCCUUGCUCAAGGGGAGGAACCAAUACCACCUCCUCCACUGUCAGCUGGAAAGUCUGAACAGUUAUCUGUGGUGGAGGAGAAAAUAAAGAACCUGCUGGUGCAAGUGGAAUCCCUUGGUGAAGCUGGGAAGGUGGAUGAAGCUCAAGCACUUAUGAAAAAGGUGGAUGAACUCAAUUCUGAGAAGGCCUUGAUUCAAUCCCAGAGCGAUCAAUUAUUGAUGGUUCCAUGGGAAGAAAAGAUGGCCUUGUGUGAGAUUUGUGGUUCUUUUCUAGUAGCAAAUGAUGCUGCUGAGAGGACUCAGUCUCAUGUCUUAGGGAAGCAGCACAUAGGUUACGGCAUGGUCCGAGAUUUCAUCACAGAGUACAAGGCAGCUAAGGAGAAGGCAAGGGAAGAGGAGAGACUAGCUAGGGAGAAGGAAGCUGAAGAACGAAGGAAGCAGAGGGAGAAGGAAUAUGAGAAGAGGAGGAGGAGGAGUGAUUCUAAUGAUAGGGACCGUUAUCAUGAUAGAGAUCAAGACAGGGAGAGGGACCGCAAUCGCGAACGUGAACGGGAUCAUGAAAGGUCACGAGAGUGGAAUGGUAGAGGUAGUGGGGAUGGAGGAAAGGGGACAGAGUGGAGGUCCAGGAAUGGAAGAGAGAGCGGCAGGGAUAGGUACCGUGACCGGAGUAGGUCACGGUCCCCUGUUAGACAUGGUCACAGGAGAUCACCUAAAAGUCCAGCUCACCAAUAUUAAAUGGAUUGGUAGAUAGAUAUCAGAGCUUUUAAAUUACAUGAGCUUUGUUGAGACUAUACCUCCCUUUCAUCAAUAUUAAUAGAGGAGAAAAGGGUUGAGGGUGGCAAUGCUUGAUAAAAUUAUUUUACCAGGUGACCAUCUGCUUGAUCUUCAUGAUAUGAUUUCAAUGUAACUUGUUAUCAUGUUGGCAAUCUACAAGGUAGGGAUGCUCAUUGUUCCUUCUUCUAGUGCCUUCACCAUUAUUUGGUGGGAACUUGAACCAUUGGGAUGGUGCAUGGGUUAUGCACAUGAGCUGCAGUUAAGGCCAAUGGUCAUUGCGUUUUUUAGGGUAAUAAAUGUAAAAGCUCCACACUCAUCUUCAUGCAGAAAUGGGUUUCCUUUUUUACAGAGUAGGUUAUUUUUGGAGUCAAACUUUCAAAACCAGUGUCAGACAAUUGUAGGUAACUACACUCUUCUUUGUAGAGUAAUUUUCAUAGCAUCUUAGCCUCGUAAAAGCAUAAUUGCUUUAAUAAUGUUUUGACACUUGUUUGAAAAUCUACUUCAGCGGACUGGGAUGCAAGGUUAAACUGCAUUGCAAAACCUGUUAACUUGCAAUUUUGUGGGUGCCUGGAGGUAAUUUGAACAUGUUUAUGAUAUGUCGAAUGGUAUGUUUCUAUUCUAGUUUGCAGGAAAGACAUGAAAUCUGGUGAACCCUGGUGGCAAUAUUUGCCGCAGUUAAGUGCAUCCCUAGGGAAUGAUUUGUUCAGGGGAAAAUAUUUUCUAAUUGAAAGAUACAGAACUGAGAUGUAAUGCCUCAAAGAAACCAUUUGUAAGAGCAACUUGCGACUGGCAUUAAUUUUCCACUAGCGCCAGGACUAUACGUUUUUUGGCAGGUC